RNAcentral lists this ribosomal RNA (873 nucleotides) under Enterococcus faecium. RNAcentral describes it as "bacterial SSU rRNA". It matches the Rfam family "Bacterial small subunit ribosomal RNA", at positions 51 to 895 of the family's 1533-position model. The record is from RNAcentral. Lineage: Bacteria; Bacillati; Bacillota; Bacilli; Lactobacillales; Enterococcaceae.
AUACAUGCAGUCGAACGCUUCUUUUUCCACCGGAGCUUGCUCCACCGGAAAAAGAGGAGUGGCGAACGGGUGAGUAACACGUGGGUAACCUGCCCAUCAGAAGGGGAUAACACUUGGAAACAGGUGCUAAUACCGUAUAACAAUCAAAACCGCAUGGUUUUGAUUUGAAAGGCGCUUUCGGGUGUCGCUGAUGGAUGGACCCGCGGUGCAUUAGCUAGUUGGUGAGGUAACGGCUCACCAAGGCCACGAUGCAUAGCCGACCUGAGAGGGUGAUCGGCCACAUUGGGACUGAGACACGGCCCAAACUCCUACGGGAGGCAGCAGUAGGGAAUCUUCGGCAAUGGACGAAAGUCUGACCGAGCAACGCCGCGUGAGUGAAGAAGGUUUUCGGAUCGUAAAACUCUGUUGUUAGAGAAGAACAAGGAUGAGAGUAACUGUUCAUCCCUUGACGGUAUCUAACCAGAAAGCCACGGCUAACUACGUGCCAGCAGCCGCGGUAAUACGUAGGUGGCAAGCGUUGUCCGGAUUUAUUGGGCGUAAAGCGAGCGCAGGCGGUUUCUUAAGUCUGAUGUGAAAGCCCCCGGCUCAACCGGGGAGGGUCAUUGGAAACUGGGAGACUUGAGUGCAGAAGAGGAGAGUGGAAUUCCAUGUGUAGCGGUGAAAUGCGUAGAUAUAUGGAGGAACACCAGUGGCGAAGGCGGCUCUCUGGUCUGUAACUGACGCUGAGGCUCGAAAGCGUGGGGAGCAAACAGGAUUAGAUACCCUGGUAGUCCACGCCGUAAACGAUGAGUGCUAAGUGUUGGAGGGUUUCCGCCCUUCAGUGCUGCAGCUAACGCAUUAAGCACUCCGCCUGGGGAGUACGACCGCAAGGUU